This 253-nucleotide ribosomal RNA is filed under the name uncultured bacterium. RNAcentral describes it as "partial 16S ribosomal RNA". It matches the Rfam family "Bacterial small subunit ribosomal RNA", at positions 524 to 776 of the family's 1533-position model. The record is from RNAcentral.
UACGUAGGUCCCGAGCGUUGUCCGGAUUUAUUGGGUGUAAAGGGGGCGCAGACGGCGAUGCAAGCCAGGAGUGAAAGCCCGGGGCCCAACCCCGGGACUGCUCUUGGAACUGCGUGGCUGGAGUGCAGGAGGGGCAGGCGGAAUUCCUGGUGUAGCGGUGAAAUGCGUAGAUAUCAGGAGGAACACCGGUGGCGAAGGCGGCCUGCUGGACUGCAACUGACGUUGAGGCCCGAAAGCGUGGGGAGCAAACAGG